GAUGAAGAACGUAGCGAAAUGCGAUAAGUAAUGUGAAUUGCAGAAUUCAGUGAAUCAUCGAAUCUUUGAACGCACAUUGCGCCCGCCAGUAUUCUGGCGGGCAUGCCUGUCCGAGCGUCAUUUCAACCCUCGAACCCCUCCGGGGGGUCGGCGUUGGGGAUCGGCCCUGCCUCUUGGCGGUGGCCGUCUCCGAAAUACAGUGGCGGUCUCGCCGCAGCCUCACCUGCGCAGUAGUUUGCACACUCGCAUCGGGAGCGCGGCGCGUCCACAGCCGUUAAACACCCAACUUCUGAAAUGUUGACCUCGGAUCAGGUAGGAAUACCCGCUGAACUUAAGCAUAUCAAUAAGCGGAGGA
Molecule: unclassified non-coding RNA, 355 nt
Filed under: soil metagenome
Description: partial contains 5.8S ribosomal RNA, internal transcribed spacer 2, and large subunit ribosomal RNA
Rfam family: 5.8S ribosomal RNA (bases 1-120)
Source: RNAcentral